UACCAGCCGGGGAGAUAGCGGUGCCCUGCACCCACAAUCCGCUGCAGUGGGGGUGGAUCCCCGAACUGAGGACCGAUCGUGUACGGCAGUCCCGCUUCGUUCCGCGUUGAAGAAUUGGUCUCGCGCAAUUGAUGGCUGUGAACCAUGUCAGGCGGGGAACCGAGCAGCAUUAAGCAGUAUUUUCGAUGUGCCGCGAGGAAACCUGUUCCGAGCGGGACGCGCGG
Molecule: signal recognition particle RNA, 224 nt
Filed under: bovine gut metagenome
Description: Bacterial large signal recognition particle RNA
Rfam family: Bacterial large signal recognition particle RNA
About the family: The signal recognition particle (SRP) is a universally conserved ribonucleoprotein involved in the co-translational targeting of proteins to membranes. Archaeal SRP consists of a 7S RNA and homologues of the eukaryotic SRP19 and SRP54 proteins. In most bacteria, the SRP consists of a 4.5S RNA and the Ffh protein (a homologue of the eukaryotic SRP54 protein).
Source: RNAcentral